GUUUCCCAACGGCUAGGAUAGCUAUCAGGCGAGGGUGCUGACGGGCUGCUACCGAGCUGCUGCGUGGCUGUCAUUGAAUGUUCCAUACAUGAGGUUCGGACAUACUUGACCCAAGUGCAGCUGGGAAUGCUGGAGCUACACAAGCAAUCCUGGUCAUGUGCUGUUCUUGCACUCAUGGGUAUGCUCUUUACCUAUGAGGAGAUGACAGACAGCAUAGUUUCAGCAUGUAGAUUAAAGGAGGAGAAUAAGGGAAGCAGUUGCUUGACCAAGACAAGGUGGAUGCCAUCAUUGAAUAUGCUAUGGGAAGAUUGCUAGGAGUGACCUCCGC
Long non-coding RNA from Strongylocentrotus purpuratus (purple sea urchin), 328 nucleotides. RefSeq lists it as uncharacterized. The transcript has 3 exons. The record is from RefSeq and is a predicted model, not a curated record. Lineage: Eukaryota; Metazoa; Echinodermata; Echinoidea; Camarodonta; Strongylocentrotidae.